UGCAAAUAAGUCCAUAACUAAAACCGUAUAUGCUACAAUUAGGUAUUUGCGGUAUUCAACUGGACUACAUUAAGCUUUGGUUAACUAUUCCUCUUAAGGAUAUCGGCUAAAAGAUAACUCCUUAAUAAAGUAAUACCAACAAAAGUCUAAU
Small nucleolar RNA from Anastrepha obliqua, 151 nucleotides. The record is from RefSeq and is a predicted model, not a curated record. NCBI's taxonomy places the organism in Eukaryota, Metazoa, Arthropoda, Insecta, Diptera, Tephritidae.